AAUAUUGACCAGAAAUUUGCCUGGAGGGAGGUCAUACACUUCAGGCUGUGCAUGACUGCCGUUAUCGCCUUAUCUGUAAUGUCAUCUUGUUUGUUAUUCGGCUGUGAGAGGUGUGGAUGGAUGGGGCAGGUACAGUAGCUGCAGAAAGAGUAUAAAACAGGGCUGCAGAGGGCAGAGAGACACCACACUACUACUGAAGACCAGAAGACAUCAUCCAGAUAAACAGCCAUCAAUCAGACAGCAUCGUCCAACUUAAAGGAUGAAGAUCCAGAGUAUGUUACUGCUGUUCGCUCUAGUGGGUGUCCUGUUAGCAAGCUCCCUCAAUGAAGAUAACUCUGAGGAAGCUCUCCUGCAGGAGGAUGAUCUAAAAAGUGGAAAGGCUGCAUUUUUGGCAAAGUUGGCUGCUCUGAAGACCAGCGCCUCUGAAGAUGAAGCACCAUCAUCAUGGUUCCAUCAUCAUCAUCAUCAUCAUCAUCAUCAUCAUCAUCAUCAUCACCAUGGAUGAUGAGGUACCACGGACGAUUCUUUCCUGGUCUCCAUAUGGAAUCAACAUAACUAACAUUGCCCUACAUGCAUUCAUCCAUUCAUGAUGGCAAUGUUGUAUUGUGAUCCUCCAAUAAAAUAGUCCUUUCACACA
Salmo salar (Atlantic salmon) is the source of this 637-nucleotide non-coding RNA. Lineage: Eukaryota; Metazoa; Chordata; Actinopteri; Salmoniformes; Salmonidae. The record is from RefSeq and is a predicted model, not a curated record.